GGUGAACGCUGGCGGCAUGUCUAAGGCAUGCAAGUCUAGGGGUAAUUUAUUACCCCGGCAAACGGGAGAGUAACACGUUGGUAACUUACCUCGAGUUCGAGUAUAACCCGGAGAAAUCCGGGACAAUCCUCGAUAGACAUGAGGGGACACAAGUCAUUCUCAUGUAAAGCUCCGGCGACUCGAGAGAGGCCUACGGCUCAUCAGCUUGUUGGUAGGGUAACGGCCUACCAAGGCGACGACGAGUAGCGGGUGUGAGAGCAUGGCCCGUCUCACUGGGACUGAGAACUGCCCAGACACCUACGGGUGGCUGCAGUCAAGAAUCUUCCUCAAUGGCCGAAAGGCUGAAGGAGCAAUGCCGCGUGAUCGAAGAAGCCCCUCGGGGUGUAAAGAUCUUUUCUGAGGGAAGAAUCCGUGACGGUACCUCAGGAAUAAGUCACUGCUAACUUCG
This 448-nucleotide ribosomal RNA is filed under the name uncultured bacterium. RNAcentral describes it as "bacterial SSU rRNA". It matches the Rfam family "Bacterial small subunit ribosomal RNA", at positions 28 to 505 of the family's 1533-position model. The record is from RNAcentral.